ACUCAAAUGAAUAGACGGGGGCUCACACAAGCGGUGGAGCAUGUGGCUUAAUUCGAGGCUACGCGCAAAACCUUAUCCCGGGCUUGACAUGCACGGAUUAGCCGGCGGAAACGCCGGCGACGCCGCGAGGUGGAACGUGCACAGGUGCUGCAUGGCUGUCGUCAGCUCGUGUCGCGAGAUGUUGGGUUCAGUCCCGUAACGAGCGAAACCCCUGUGACUAGUUGCCAGCACCUCGGGUGGGCACUCUAGUCAGACCGCCGGCGUCAAGCCGGAGGAAGGCGGGGAUGACGUCAAGUCCUCAUGGCCCUUAUGCCCGGGGCGGCACACGUGCUACAAUGGGCCGGACAGAGCGUCGCAAUGCCGCAAGGCCGAGCCAAUCGCAAAAACCGGCCCCCAGUUCGGAUUGCGGGCUGCAACCCGCCCGCAUGAAGCCGGAAUCGCUAGUAAUCGCGGAUCAGCACUGCCGCGGUGAAUGGGUUCCUGAGCCUUGUACACACCGCCCGU
This 504-nucleotide ribosomal RNA is filed under the name uncultured bacterium. RNAcentral's name for it is "partial 16S ribosomal RNA". It matches the Rfam family "Bacterial small subunit ribosomal RNA", at positions 899 to 1397 of the family's 1533-position model. The record is from RNAcentral.